UUUCCUACUAAUAACGAUAAAAAAAAGAUCCAAAAGCCUUUCUGAAGCUGCUCCUGCUUGGAUUUUGGAGCUGUGCUGGAGCUGGGAAUGCUUUAAAGCACGAAAUAACCUGAGAUGUGAGAGAUUUUCCAGUUUCUCAAGACAGACUGUACUUGGCUGUAAUUAUAGAUGUGGUGUAAAGAUAAUGUGCAUUAUUAUAAGUGUCUUUGAAGUCUGUUCUUUCUCCAGGAGGGUUGCCACAUACCCUUCAGAUUCGCAGUGGGAGCUGGUAAAUAUUAUUCUCAUUAUUCAGAGUACGUACCAGAGGCAGGGAUUUGUAGGAACCUAAAAAAAUGGAGCAGCUGAGCUAAAAGCAGGAGGGAAGAAUUCCCAGGGCUUUAUCCCAGCUGUGUGUUGAGGGAGAUGAAGGCUGCACACGGUGGGUAUUGGGUACGCUGCCGUCUCCAUGCAUAUCCAGUCAGGAUGGAGGGGCUGGGAUACCUGCCAAGCCUUUUCUUCCAGGUAAACCCCACCCCACCCCUUGCUCCACCUGGCUGCCCCAAGGACUCUGACCCCGAGUGAAAGGGUAGGGACCAAAUCCCUGUUCUCCCCACACUUUGUGGGACUUAAUGAGGGGCCAUGUGUCCGUGCAGAGCUGCAGAACAGGAUCCGUGCACUCCCUCAUUACAGGGAUUUCAGCUUCCCCUGUGCAUCCCAGUUUCCCAGCAGGUCUGUGCUGCUCAGGCUUUUCCUUUAGGCUCCCUGCAAGGUGAUGGCUAAAGUUCUGGGGCCCAAGGUGCUACAGGAAGGGUGGUUUGCAGCAUCCAUAGGCAGGCUCUGCUCAUGAAGGAAUUGGGAAUGGAAAAUCCUGCUGGGCCACAGUGCAGAUCCUGGAGCUCCCAGGCCUGGUUGGGAUUCUGGAGGAGGCAGGCAGGCUGGCCUCACUGGCACGUGGCUGUGCUCUCGGGGGUGCCAGCGGCCACAUUCCAGCCAGGGGACUUUCCCCACCGCCUGCUGCUCAGGCGCACACGGGGAGGACGUGCUGCGCCGCAGGGAUGUGCCGCGGGGACACAGCGGAGUUCCCAGCUGUGACACAGCCCGUGCCAAGGAGCAGGUGGGGCGAGAGGAGCUCAAAACGCUCCAGGCCACAGGGAGGAGGGAAAGGUGCUGAAUCCACCAGGGAGAUCCCAUAGGAAGCUCAUAUCCCUUCCCCAAAACAAGCAGAAGGUGGUUCUUCUGUUCCUUACAGUGCUAUGGCUCCCCCACCUGCUGGGGCAGGCAUCACAGAGGCUUUUAUCUCUCUUUGCCUUCCUUGUCUACCUGAAUCCCAGGGAUCCUUGCCCAAAUCUCUCAGGAACCAGUUCUUACUUGGAGCCCGUUGUGUUUCUGCCCGCUCUGUUGUCUCCCAUCCCUUUGCGUAACCGCGGGCUCAGCACGGCGGGUGGCAGCACGAAGCUGGCGCUGCUGCCAAUCUCUGCCCACCCACGGGCUUGGAAAUAGCAGCACCGAGACAGAUCAGCCUGGCAAACCCCCCAGGAAUUCAGCUGGGAUGGGGUGGGGGGCGUCUCAGUGCUGAUAUUUUAUCUCCUUACUAUUAAAAUUUCUCACCCCACUCAGGUUUUUAACGCUGCAGCAGCUGAGGAUCCAGCCCUUGGUGUUGGCCAGGCUGGUGCUGAGUAGGAGGGUUUUCCCAGCUCCAUGGAUGGAAGCUUGGGAACAUUUGGGAUGAGAUGCACCUUCUGUUUUAAUGCCUCAUCCUCCUCCUUCUCCUGCUCUACACCAAGGCACAUGGGAUACAGCAGGAAGCGAGCUGCUCCUCUCUGUCAACUUCUUUUGCAGUUGGAGGUUUAUUUUGCUUUGCCAUUGUGAGGUUUUGUUUUAUUAUUUUUUUUUCCCAGGGAAAACCAAGAAGUGGGAUAUCAAGUGAGGAAGAAAAGGGAAAAAAAGUGGGCCAAACAAUGAGGAGGACACUGGCCACAUCUCUGCGUGGCACUUGGCCAAAGGCUGGAGCCAAACUCAGUGUGGGUUGAGGAUGCAUGUGAGUCCUGGGAUUAACUGUACAGCUGGAAGGUGCUGUGGACAAUUCUAAGAGUGAAAAUGUUCUGCAUUUCUUGGGAAAAUAAGGAGAGGAGGACUUACAAGUUGUUCCCCAGCGUGCUCCUCUUUGUGGCCCCCAGGAUGCUCAUCAGCGAGAGAUCCAGGCUUCAGGAAGGAUGAUUGUCGGGAAAAGGGAAACCCCAGAUAAACACACAGAGCUCCUACAUAGUCCUGCAGGAUCUGGGUGCUGCCAGCGCCGGGGAGCAACCUUUGCUUUGUGGCUUUAUCUGAUCGUGACAUCCAGC
Hirundo rustica (Barn swallow) is the source of this 2321-nucleotide long non-coding RNA. RefSeq lists it as uncharacterized. The record is from RefSeq and is a predicted model, not a curated record. NCBI's taxonomy places the organism in Eukaryota, Metazoa, Chordata, Aves, Passeriformes, Hirundinidae. The transcript has 3 exons.